GACGAACGCUGGCGGCGUGCUUAACACAUGCAAGUCGAACGGAAAGGCCCUGCUUUUGUGGGGUGCUCGAGUGGCGAACGGGUGAGUAACACGUGAGUAACCUGCCCUUGACUUUGGGAUAACUUCAGGAAACUGGGGCUAAUACCGGAUAGGAGCUCCUGCUGCACGGUGGGGGUUGGAAAGUUUCGGCGGUUGGGGAUGGGCUCGCGGCUUAUCAGCUGGUUGGUGGGGUAGUGGCUUACCAAGGCUUUGACGGGUAGCCGGCCUGAGAGGGUGACCGGCCACCUGGGGACUGGGAUACGGCCCGGACUCCUACGGGAGGCAGCAGUGGGGAAUGUUGCACGAUGGGCGGACGCCUGGUGCAGCAACGCCGCGUGCGGGAUGACGGCCUUCGGGUUGUAAACCGCUUUCGCCUGUGACGAAGCGUGGGUGACGGUAAUGGGUAAAGAAGCACCGGCUACCUACGU
This 467-nucleotide ribosomal RNA is filed under the name uncultured bacterium. RNAcentral's name for it is "partial 16S ribosomal RNA". It matches the Rfam family "Bacterial small subunit ribosomal RNA", at positions 28 to 506 of the family's 1533-position model. The record is from RNAcentral.